Pseudopipra pipra is the source of this 5267-nucleotide long non-coding RNA. RefSeq lists it as uncharacterized. NCBI's taxonomy places the organism in Eukaryota, Metazoa, Chordata, Aves, Passeriformes, Pipridae. The transcript is spliced from 2 exons. The record is from RefSeq and is a predicted model, not a curated record.
UUUAACACUGCAGUGAGGCUGGUAAUGCCUACAGUUCUCUUAAGUAACUUAAAAAUACAUUUUGAAGUAUGGUUAGUCUAAAGUGGUGAUUGCCAAUAUGGGAGCUUGUAACAGGAUUGCAAGAAUUCUGUAUGUCUUUUUGCUUUUUCCUACAAGAGUUUUUUACGAAGAGUAGGAUGAAAGUCCUUAGAAUAAGCUAGUGGAAGAAACAUGCAUGAUAGGGUUUUAGAAAAAAUGAGUUGCAAAAUGUUCUAGAAUAGUUAAGGAACUUCCAUGUUUGAAAAGUCAUGUCUUUACAACUACACUGUGGAGGCCUCUAGAAGUCCAGACAUUUGGUGGUCCGUGUCAAGCAAGUGAAAUUUAUUAGUGCAUAUGAAUUGCUCACCUUCUCUAAAAUACUGUGAGAAUAUUGACUGACUGACAGUUCAGUAUAUUGCUGAAAAUGAGCAUUAUACCAGUUCUUUUUUCACAAAUAGCCCCUACUAGCAGAAUAAGAUUAAUAACUUGACCAGCAUGCUGUUUCAUAUAUGUUCUUGUAGAUAUGCUUAGUUGGCUAUGAAUUCCUUUCCAAAAUGAAUAUGUGUGCAUACAUUUGUGCAUUUUCCACAAAAGCUGACAUGGUGCACAAAGGCUGCUCAGUUUGUUUGAGAUGGGAGGCCAUUUUUAUGCAAUGCUGAGAUUGCAUCUGCCUCUGAGUCAAUACAACCUUGAUUUUUCAAAUACCGAAGAUCAUUUUCUAUGGCUCGAAGUAAGAUUCAGCAUAGUACAAAAAUACAUUCCUCAGGAUGAUUUGAGUUACUCAUCCCAUACAAAAAUAUAAUUUUUUUCCAUGUGCUAAAAUGUUUCCAAUCACAGUUUGUCUGGAGAAUUUUGUGCAAUUUGUGAAAAAUUAUCUAUUAAUCAUGUCCAUAAGGGUACUGUUAAAAGACGUAUUUUAUAUUAUUCUUGUGUUCCUGGACACCCACCAGUUCUUACAAGUCAAGCAAAUAGUUUUCUGGUUGUGAACAACUGAACUGCAAAGUAACAGCCACACUACUACUGAAGUCUUUGUCCAUUUUUAGUCCAUUUCUCACAUUUUUUGAAGAGACUAGUGGAGAGAAGCAAGUAAGAAAAAUAAGGUUAAAGACAGAUCAACUCGGCAGCACAGAGGAGUGGUUAUUCCCCAUUUCAGGGGUCAGGAGAGUUGCUUUUGUUGGUUUGCUAUAUAUUUCUUUGUGAUCUUAGGUUCUUUUCUCUGUCUCUCAUCCUUUUCAUUUUGUCCGUCAUGUUUUACUGUUCUUGCAAGUGGUGUUCUGAGACUGGAUUUUAAUUGGUCUUUUAUAUUACCAUGCUUUUUGUUCAGUGAUAUGAAAAGGUCGUAAUUUUGGUCUCUGCUUCCAGCCAUUUUAAUAAUGCUAAUAAAUAAGGAAUAGCUGAUGUUGGUAAUGCAGCAGGUAUUUUAUCAUAUUCCUCUUAAAUCUGCAGCUGAAUGCAGAAGGUUAGCAUGUUCUUUUUACCCCAUUCUUGUCUUCAGCUUCUAGUAGCCAGAUGUAUAUGGGCUAAUUGGAGGGCGGGGUGGGUUUUGUAGGGAAAAAAAAGAGGCAUGGUACAUUCCUUCUUCUUUUGAUACAUUUUCUGGCAUAUGAAUUAUAUUAGUUAUGGAAACAGAUACUUUCUUAAAUUCUGGGAGAUACCGUUGAUCUGAUCACUGGAUCUCAGUUUCCUUCCUUUUUGUAAAUGCCUGAAUACAAAAGAUGAAAAGUGUAGGCUUACUUGGUGGCUGACUUACCAUUCUCCUUUCGUUUUAACUUAAAAUGACUUUGUUACAUGUGACGUGAAAUUUGCCUUCUUUCUGUUUUUUAAAUAUCAUCAUUUCCAGGUUAGAGUCACAGAAUCACAGUACAGCUGAGCUGGGAAGGGACCUCUGGAGGUCAUCUAGUCCAAACACCCCUGCUCAAGCCAGGCCACCUAGAGUUGGUUGCCCAAGACUCUGUCCAGACUCCCCCUUAUUUCUCUGGAAUUGAAAUAGUUUCUUAACAGUGAGCAUAGUGAGUGUGUUCUGUGCCUUUUUAGAAAGGCAUAUUGCUGAGAGAAGCCUAGCAUGAAGGUCAUUUUCAGAAAGAAGAGAGAUUGCAUGUAUCAGAGGGAAGAUACAUAUUUGAGAAGAGUUUAUAGCAAAUACUUUUCCUUAUACCUUGGGGAAGAAUAUCAGUAGUUGUGAUUGGAGAGUUCUCAUUGUUCUGGUUUUUUAACACCAGAGUUCAUGAAACAGUAUUCCUCUUCUGCUGGUUAUACUGCUCCUUUUCCCCUGCCAUCGGAGGCAUUGCAUUUAAGAACAUACCUAAUUUGCUUUUAUGGUAAUUAGCAAAAAAGCAUCCAUUUCCUUUUUAUCUGCUGAAAGCGUUGAGGCUAAAAAUAGUCACACUGGAAUAUGUUCAGGCUUCAGUCAUAGCCAGCUUCUUCAGGCUGAAAAUAAGCCUCAUUCAGUACCAUUGCUCAGCACCAGAAGUUCUGGAUAUUUGUAAUUCCAGUAAACCUAUAUUCCUGUCAGUGGCACACAUUCCUUCUCUUGAAACCAAUGUCUUUGGUGUGGUACAGUGCUGGAAGACUUUUAACCUUACUGUUAACAGGACUACAAUAAUUAUGAGGAUGUCUCUGCUGCUAAGGUGCUUUGCAGAUUUCAGUGAGGGACUUGUUUAGUACAUAGGGACAUCCUUCCUCUUCCCAGGGCAGCACCAAUUCCUUCUUUUCAUCUCUUUUCCAUCUGUAAUAUGAAAGUCACACUAUAGUGGGUGAAAAUCUGAAAGAGGGUUCAGUUUUAGCUGUCAUGAGUUACAUGUUGUUACUAGACGUGUUAACCUUCUGUUCUCAUUUAUCAUCACGUUUGACCCUGCCAGGGAAAGUGGGAUAGCCAGCUGAUCUAAAAAAGGCCAUUUCUGUAUCAGUGUUAGCCUUUAGAUGUAAAUCUUCAUUUUCUCUGUUGCAGAGCAGAGCUCGCUGAAGCUCAUGUGUCUCUUCCUGGCUCCCAUGCCAGAUGCUAUAGUCAUGCUGCGUACUGCUGGUGUUCUGGGUUCUGCAAAGCUGCUUUGGCAACUACUAGGCUGAUAAGUUUAAAUUUUCACAAUAUGUAGAAUGUCAGCACCAUAGCACAUCUUCUAUUUUUAAGCAACUUUGCUCGCAUACUACUGAUGAUAUUUAGAGUUUGUGACAUACUACUGAUGAUAUUUGGAGAUCGGUAGACUAGUAUCGUCCAACAGUAACCCUGAUGCCAAGGAGCUCCCAAAGUUAUAUGAUAUCACUGAAUACUGAAAGUUAUCCUAGUUGUGAUGCAAAGAUUAGAAUCAGGUGGCAAGUUCUGUCUGUGGCAUAGUAAUUUCCUGGCUUACUGAAGUAUUUCUGGAACUGAUAAAACUGCAGGAAGGCAGUGAAACAAUGGCCUGAAAGAUGACAGGGUACAUAUCUGUCCAUCCAAAUAGCACUUGUUACUUGGGAUGUCACCAAGUUCAAAAAAAUUCAUAGAUGACAAAUCCUCUGGUUUCUGGUUGUUUUUUGAAGGAAUGUCUGUCUGUAGGACUCCAGCACUUCUCAAACUGGGGUUGCCUGUGAUCAGUGGGUGAUUUAAUUCCUGAAGACAUGGCAAAAUUCCAGCAGGAGCUUAACUCCCAGAGUGCCGCAGGACCAGCUACACCAUGGGGGAAGCAGUGGCAGUAUCUCCGGUGCUCUUCAAAGACUCUGUGGGAGGAAAAGAUGCCAGCUUUAGAAACUAAUCACAGCAUUACAUUUUAUGGAAGAAUCGUUCAUUCUCUAAAUAUCUCAGAUAUUAAUACAAGAUACUGAAGCACUACAACCAUCAGUUAAUACUCAGGCACAAUCCUGAAAUAUUUUCCAAAGGAGCGGAUACUGUGCAGCCACCUGCUAAUACUUGAGUCUGGGAUGUUUUUAAAAUGGCUUAGGAGUUGAAUUCAAAUGAACAACAUACCUUAGAUUGAAAUUAAAUGUUUUUUUCUGAAUGCUGUGAUGUACCCAACAGGAAAGCAUAGAGUGCUUGUGGACUGCUGCUCAGUUCCUCCUUCCCUGUUGCCCAGGGCAGAAAGCUGGAACUAAGCAGCUUUCUGACAACUACCUGUGAUCAUUAAGGUUUAGGAUCAGUGUUAUUCUACAUUACAUUUUUGUAUAUAUUUGUUCUAUAAUAUGGGUUCUGUAGAACGCAUAGAUAUAUGAUAAUGUGCAAGGUCCUGCACCUGGGGCAGGGCAAUCCCCAGAAUCAGUACAAACUGCGUAAUGAGUUGACUGAGAGCAGCCUGGUAGAGAAGGACUUGACAGUACUGGUAGAUGACAAGUUGGGCAUGAGCUGGCAAUGUGCACUCACAGCCCAGAAAGGCUGUUGCACAGGAGUCGUGAAGAUCUGUUUUGCCUUGGAGUGCCAUGUUCUAGGUGACUGCUCUGUGCUUUCUCAGUGCCUAACAAAAAGCCUGAAAUAUCCAAACACAAAGUUAAAAUGGAUAGUGCAGUACCUGGGAAUUGUCAGCUUCUCCUGUUUCAGGUGCUUACAAGCCAUGAGUUGGAAGCAAGGUAUGACAUAAAGUAGUGGAACUUAGAGAUUGUAUGCUGGUAUUUGAAAUUAAAGUUUCCAACAGAGUGUAAUUAAUACAGCAAAGCCACUAAAUGGAAAUAAUUAAAGAAGAGAAUUAUACUUAUCUUCACCUAAGUUGCUGACGCACCUAAACGUUGAUAAUGUUAUGUACUAAAAGUGAUUCUGCAUAACUGAAUUAAUAUCCUACUGAUAUCCAUGUGUAUCACAUUGGUAGGUACAAUAUAUGUUACCUGCUCUAUUAAAAUUUUUAAGUUUUCUUCUCUUUGGGAUCCAUUGUCUCUCCUAAGGUGGUAUAACAUAGCUACCUAAAGCCAUUUCUUGUUGGGAUGUGUCUGAACAAUUUAGAAACCACGGUGUGCAAAGACCAGAAUUUAGACUUACAAGAUAGAGGACAGGCAAUAGUGAAACCUGCAGCGGUGGUCUGACUGGAGUUUGGAUGUUUUGGAGGACAGACUGACUUUUUUCAGUUGAUCAGAGUGUGUGUGUCUUUUUCCAUCCUCCACCCUUCUCUCUUCCAGCCUAUUUUUCUCACUCAAACUUUAGGUGGGCUGGAUGCUCCUAGUAUUGUCAAGCACCGUUGAAUAUUUGCUGAUAGAAAAUUAUGGUGACCCUUUCUGACUCAGAAGAAAUUGCAAGUGAAUUUAUCUAGGAGUUGUCUUCAUCAGCAGUUUUAAAAUAUAAAUCAAUUUAAAUC